CCCUAUGGGGUGCAGCAGGCGAGAAAACUUUGCAAUGUGCGAAAGCACGACAAGGUUAAUCCGAGUGAUUUCUGCUAAAGGAAUCUUUUACCAGUUCUAAAAAUACUGGCGAAUAAGGGGUGGGCAAGUUCUGGUGUCAGCCGCCGCGGUAAAACCAGCACCUCAAGUGGUCAGGAGGAUUAUUGGGCCUAAAGCAUCCGUAGCCGGCUCUGUAAGUUUUCGGUUAAAUCUAUAUGCUCAACGUAUAGGCUGCCGAAAAUACUGCACAGCUAGGGAAUGGGAGAGGUAGACGGUACUCGGUAGGAAGGGGUAAAAUCCUUUGAUCUAUCGAUGACCACCUGUGGCGAAGGCGGUCUACCAGAACAUGUUCGACGGUGAGGGAUGAAAGCUGGGGGAGCAAACCGGAUUAGAUACCCGGGUAGUCCCAGCUGUAAACGAUGCAGACUCGAUAAUGCACUGGCACAUAGCCAGUGCAGUGUCGCAGGGAAGCCGUUAAGUCUGCCGCCUGGGAAGUACGUACGCAAGUAUGAAACUUAAAGGAAUUGGCGGGGGAGCACCACAAGGGGUGAAGCCUGCGGUUCAAUUGGAGUCAACGCCAGAAAUCUUACCCGGAGAGACAGCAGAAUGAAGGUCAGGCUGAAGACCUUACCAGACAAGCUGAGAAGUAGUGCAUGGCC
This 677-nucleotide ribosomal RNA is filed under the name uncultured marine group I thaumarchaeote. RNAcentral's name for it is "bacterial SSU rRNA". It matches the Rfam family "Archaeal small subunit ribosomal RNA", at positions 321 to 999 of the family's 1478-position model. Lineage: Archaea; Thermoproteati; Nitrososphaerota. The record is from RNAcentral.